This 492-nucleotide ribosomal RNA is filed under the name uncultured bacterium. RNAcentral's name for it is "partial 16S ribosomal RNA". It matches the Rfam family "Bacterial small subunit ribosomal RNA", at positions 29 to 507 of the family's 1533-position model. The record is from RNAcentral.
AGUGAACGCUGGCGGUAGGCCUAACACAUGCAAGUCGAACGGCAGCGCAGUAAGAUUUUGCGGUUAUGGAUGGCGAGUCGCGUACGGAACAGGUAAACAUCCUAAUCUACUUUUUGGUGUGGGUUCAGGUAGCUAGACCUACUCUCAUACCGCAGCCGACCUUGCAUUGAAAGCAUUGGAUCUUUUGACCGUGUGCGACUGGACUAGCGGAUGUCGGAUUAGCUAGUUGGCGGGGUAAAGGCCCAGCAAGGCGACGGUCGGUAGCUGGUCUGAGAGGAUGAUCAGCCACACUGGAACUGAGACACGGUCCAGACUCCUACGGGAGGCAGCAGUGGGGAAUAUUGGACAAUGGGCGCAAGCCUGAUCCAGACAUACCGAGUGGGUGAAGAAGGCCUUCGGGUUGUAAAGCCCUUUUGUUGGGAAAGAAAAGCAGCAGGUUAAUAACCAGCUGUUCUGACGGUACCCAAAGAAUAAGCACCGGCUAACUUCGUG